RNAcentral lists this ribosomal RNA (355 nucleotides) under uncultured bacterium. RNAcentral describes it as "partial 16S ribosomal RNA". It matches the Rfam family "Bacterial small subunit ribosomal RNA", at positions 338 to 708 of the family's 1533-position model. The record is from RNAcentral.
CCUACGGGUGGCAGCAGUGGGGGAUAUUGGACAAUGGGGGGAACCCUGAUCCAGCGACGCCGCGUGAGUGAAGAAGUAUCUCGGUAUGUAAAGCUCUAUCAGCAGGGAAGAAGAAAUGACGGUGCCUGAGUAAGAAGCCCCGGCUAACUACGUGCCAGCAGCCGCGGUCAUACGUAGGGGGCAGGCGUUAUCCGGAAUUACUGGGUUUAAAGGGAGCGUAGACGGUGAUGUAAGUCUGGAGUGAAAUGCGCGAGCGCAACCCCCGAACUGAUCUGAAAACUAUGUGACUGGAGUGCAGGAGAGGUAGGCGGAAUGUCUGGUGUAGCGGGGAAAUGCGUAGAGAUUAGGAGGAACA